Long non-coding RNA from Hermetia illucens (black soldier fly), 840 nucleotides. RefSeq lists it as uncharacterized. The transcript has 3 exons. NCBI's taxonomy places the organism in Eukaryota, Metazoa, Arthropoda, Insecta, Diptera, Stratiomyidae. The record is from RefSeq and is a predicted model, not a curated record.
UGUGUGCAGAUAAACUUCUGCAGCCCAUUCGCAAGUCGGGUCAUUUUAGUGUGGGUACUGCCUAUAGUAGAUCUACUGUGAUCCACCGUUUCUGUGCCAUGUAGGGAGAGGGUCCUGUGGGAGAAAAAGUUUGUCAUCCAAUUGUAUAUAUUCGGGGAAGUGUUCAGCGUGACCAUUUUUUGGGUUAGGAUGCUGGAUGCUGCGAUCAAAAACACAUGUGAACUCUAUGACAAUUGCGCUAGGGAUGGUUUUGAGAGAUUUGUGCUCUAUGGUGUUUAUUAAGUUGUUGAGGCAGUGUGCAGUGGAUUUAUUAUUUGGAAUGCAUAGGAGUGGAACGGGGGGCGUUUAGUAGAGCGAUGGGUCCGAAAUUGAAAGGGCUUUCUUGGUAUUUUCCGGGUUUCAAAAUCGGGCCAAUUUCGGCUUCCACCCAUUCAUCCGGGAUGUUUAAGAUAGCUAAGAGCUUAUAUUUUUGAAUGGGGUCAAUGGGUCUCCUGUAUCCCGGGCACCUGCUGCUGCCUGCAAUGUGCCGAUGAUCCACACCUUUCUUUCCUUUGCACUACUAGCGGCGUACACAUUCGUCCCAGCCUUGGUCAACCGCUUUGCUUACAAUCAGUAAAAAUCUUUCUCGCUCUCUUGUCAGAUUGUCUUUGGAAAAGGCUAAUGAAAUACCGCCUAUGUUCCAAAGCCGCCGACGCUCUAAAUUCCAAACUCUAGGGAGGAAUAUUUUUUUCAGAAUUCUGGGGUCCUAAUCCGCAUCAACUUGAUGCCGGACCGGACCAAAUGGGGAACAACUUACUCCCUUUUUUUGGUCCACGGACCCUCGUUUAGGUUUAGCAAAAA